GCGAGUGUAGCUCAGUGGUAGAGCGUAACCUUGCCAAGGUUGAUGUCGCGCGUUCGAAUCGCGUCACUCGCU
RNAcentral lists this transfer RNA (72 nucleotides) under Dictyota dichotoma. It matches the Rfam family "tRNA". Rfam says of the family: Transfer RNA (tRNA) molecules are approximately 80 nucleotides in length. Their secondary structure includes four short double-helical elements and three loops (D, anti-codon, and T loops). Further hydrogen bonds mediate the characteristic L-shaped molecular structure. tRNAs have two regions of fundamental functional importance: the anti-codon, which is responsible for specific mRNA codon recognition, and the 3' end, to which the tRNAs corresponding amino acid is attached (by aminoacyl-tRNA synthetases). tRNAs cope with the degeneracy of the genetic code in two manners: having more than one tRNA (with a specific anti-codon) for a particular amino acid; and 'wobble' base-pairing, i.e. permitting non-standard base-pairing at the 3rd anti-codon position. The record is from RNAcentral. Lineage: Eukaryota; Phaeophyceae; Dictyotales; Dictyotaceae. RNAcentral also lists the same sequence under 10 other names.